GGAGGUGAGCUUAGCUAUUAGAGAGGUAUGUGUAGCUAAGCUCUAGCUUCUUUAGGAAUCUUCUUAAGGAAGCUUCUCAAGGAGGUGAGCUUAGUUAUGAGAGGGGUGUGUGUAGCUAAGCUCUAGCAUCUCAAGGAAGUUUUCUCAAAGAAGCUUCUCAAGGAAGUUUUCUCAAGAAAGCUUCUAAAGGAAGCUACCUAGUCUAUAAAUAGAAGCAUGUGUAACACUUGUUGUAACUUUGAUAAAUGAGAGUCUUGUGAGACACAACUCAAAGUUCAACUUCUCUCCCUUUUUCUUCCUUCAAUUUCGUGCUCCCCCCUCUCUCUUUCUCUCCCUCUUUCUUUUCCUCCAUUGAAUCAUCCUCUCCAAGCUUCUUAUCCAAGGCUCAUCUUGGUGGUGAAGCUCCUUCUUCCAUGGCUUAUUCCCUAGUGGAUGGCACUGCCUCUUACCUCUUCUCCUUUGUCUUCCGCUGCAUCUCCAUGGUGGAAAACCACAAUUAAAGGACCCCAUUGAAGCUCAAAGAUCCAUCCUCCAUAGAAGCUCCACAAGCAAGCUUCGAUCAAGUGGUAAUCAGAGCACAAGAGCUUCAAGUAGGUGCUUCUUAAACCUCCAUUAAUUUUUUGCUUUACCUUCUCUUCCAUUGUUGUUUCUUCAUUUUUUCUCCUUGUAUCUCCUCACACGUCUUUUGCUAAAUGUUUUUAACAUGAUUCUUUAGAGUUUCCACCGAUUAAACUUGCUAUAGAAGCUAGAUUUGAUUUUUCUAUGGUUCAAAUUUCUUGUUCUUGUUCUUGAACCAUGAAUUGUGUUGAGUUUAGGUUCCUUUGAGUUUUUGUCUUGUUAUUUUUUGUGGCUGAAACCUAAACCAUAAAAUUCUUACAAAAAUAUUAAAGUAGAAGAAAACCUCAAAAAUCUAGAGUGACUUGUUCACCUAUUGUAGUUUUGCCAUAGAAGUCAUGUCUAGUCAUGAAACUUGUCACAUAAGAUUUCUUAUGUUGUGCUGAAUUUUAUUUUUCUUGUUUCUUUGUCUAAUUCAUUUGUUCAUGAGUGUAUGAAAUUCUCUUAGCCUAUUAUUUGAUUUGAGUCAAAUCUUUCAUGUUAAUUAGUCUUUAACAUGUUCAUGCAAAAUUCUUAGAGAGUCUUUGAUUGUGAACCUUUUCUUGAACUUUUAGGUUUCCUUAUGAUUGUGUCUAUUGUGAAUUUGAGUUUUGGUGAUUGAAUUGCUGGCUGAAAUGUUGAUCCUAAUAGAAUAUUGAACUCCUAAAACUGUGUUAAACAAUACGAGUGAGUUCAACAUACAUGGGAAGGUUGAAAGUAAGCCCAAGGCAAUCAAUAUACCAUGCUUAAAAUAAAAAAAAAAAAUCGCUGGUGCUGGCAGCUUGGACAUACAAACUAGUAAAAUUACUGAGAAUUGGUUAAUUCGAAUUUUGAGCUGAAAUUUUUACUAAAUUUUACAGACAUCUGGAAGAAAGUUAUAAAAAAAGAACCAAGUGAUUUGGAGAAAAGGAAAAAAAUAUAAAAAUCAUACAAGUUGGCAGAAAAAAUUAGUAUCCAGAAAAAAAAAAGUGAAAGGGAAGUGUGCUUGUUGUUUUAGCUCAAAAUUUAUUCUAUAAUUGGUGCCUAUGUUAUACCAAUCUUAGUUCUGAAAUUUCAAUUGAAAAUUACUGUGAAAACAAGUGCCAAAGCUAGAGGUUUGUUCAGUCUUUUUUUUAUAGUUUUUUUUACUCUACUCUAGAGUCAUUCUAAGUUUCUCUUUGAGUCCUAGUUUGCUUCUAUGUCCUUUUCAUUGCUUUAAUUGUUGAGUAAUCCUUGAAAAUUUGUCUUUUUAAAACUCCAUUGGUUUAGCUUUCAUUUCAUUUUUUUUUUGGUCUUUGGUUAUUGCUUGUCUCUUUGUUUCCUUGUUUGUGGGUUGUCAUAUAGGGAAUUGGAAUGAGGAAUGGUGUCAUCCCUUGAAGAAUUUGAGUAAAAAAGAAAGGGGCCAACCACCUUAAGAGCUAUUGGACUAAGAAGCACUCUAAAUUGAGUGAAUCACCAAAGAGAGAACAACCACCAAAAUUGAGGACCGUUUUGUAAUUUUGUAAUUGGCAAUUUACUUACCAUUCAUUGCUUUCAAGUUUUGUAACAAAAAGGCCAUUCAUUGGAAGUGUGUUGGGAGCCUCCAAUAGGUUACCAAACUUCCAUUUGUGUAAUAAUUUUUGGCAAUUUUUCCUUAGGAUAGUGAGUGUUUUGUUGGGAACCUUGAAUGUGGUCAUCCAAACAUUCUUAGGAUUCGCCUAGUUUACAUUUCUUGCUUACUUUCAUAGCUUAUUUCCUUUACCUUCCAUUGUCAAACCGCCUAGAUAGCUUUCCUUUUACCAAUUAUUUUUUUACCUUAUCUUUCACACCUCUUUUAGUGUUUAUUUUGGCUAGUUUCAACCAUAGUUUCUUUUACCUUUUGUUUUCAAACCUCCAACAAGAAAGAACCAUAACUUAGAAACCAACAUGAGUCAUCAUUCAUCUAGUGUUAAUGGCGAGGGUACUAGUCAUAAAGACUCUUUAUCUAGAAUCUUAGAUGAGUUGAGUUCCCUCAAGUUAUGGAAAGAAAAACAAGAGAGAAAAGAAAAAGAAAAAAAAAGAGUGGAAGAAAUAAGUCAAGAUGAAAGAAAGAAAAUAAGAGAGGAAGAAAGAAGAAAAAUAAUGAAAGAAAUGAAAAGAGAAAAACAUGCCUCCUAUAGUAGUCAUAACUCUUGCAAAAGCCUAAGUGAAGAACUUCGUGACUAUUACGAAGGAAGGCAUAGGUCACAUCUUAGACCUCACUCCCAUAGAAGAGAAAAGGAAAGAAAGCCUCAAGAGGCUAACAUUAAACUCUCAUACUUCCAUGGGAAGGACAGUGUAGAGGCUAACUUAAAUUGGGAAAUAAGGGUAGAGCAACAACUUAAAAAGAAGUCUACUUUAAAAUCUUAUGGCUCUCACUCUUAUCCAAAGAAAGACCAAGGUCAAGGCAUCUUAGGGGUGACACCUUCUAAGCCCAAAGAUGAUAAGGGGAAGACAAUAGAAAAGCAAGCCCUUAAGGCUAGUAUGCAAGAGAAAACUAGCUCUAUAAAGUGCUUUAAAUGUCUUGGAAGAUGAUACAUUACUUCUCAAUGCCCCACCACAAAAACCAUGAUUAUGAGGGGCCAAGACAUUUAUAGUAGCCAAGAUGAGGCUAGUACUUCACCUUCCUCUAGUGAAAGUGAAAAAGCAAAAGGGGAAGAAUCUAGUAAAGAAAUCUACCCCCAAGAAAAAGGACAACCAUUAAUGGUUAAAGAGAAGUGUAAGGAGGUAAGUGUCUCCUCCAAGAGCUUAGCUAAGAAGGAAACUCAUUUUACAAUAAAGAUAAACAUUAAAGAAAUUUUUCCUCUUAGACAACCUCCACAUUUUCUCUUUUGUAAAAAGGCACUUGCUAGCAUUGUCACACCUCUUGGGCUUGAGUUUAUUCCUCAAGUAAAGAAGUUAUUGGAUGAGGGUUUGAUUCGCAAGAGCUUAAAUCCUUGUGCUUUGUUGGUGCCCAAAAUAGGUAUUAUUAGGCACCAAGUCCCUAAAAUAGGUGGUAUGAUGAAUGUUUUGAGUGGUGCAACCCUCUUUUGUAAAAUCACUCGUACACCUAACAUAUUCAUGGUGUGUGUACAUAAGGAUUCAUUAGGUAGGUUUGUUCUUAUUUUUAGUUUCAAUACAAACCUAGGUGCUCAUAUGGGACACCUUAAGUUUGUUGUACUUUUUGGUAGGAGUAAUCAACAUGAAAAUACAGAAAAAUGUAUGUUUUAUUGCGUUACUUUUCUUAAUUUUUCAAAUAGUGAUCAAGGGGUUCCCAUGAACCCUAAGAGAAUAAAGGUCAUUCCUGAGUGGCCCACUCCACCAAGUAUAAGAAAAAUUUGGGGCUUCCAUGACUUAACAAACUUUUACAAAAGGUUUGUCCCAUAUUUUUCUAUACUUGUAGCACCACUCAUUGAGUUGGUGAGAAACCAUGUUCCUUCAUGGGAAGAUGCCCAGGAAAUGGGUUUUCAGACCUUACCUUACUUCAACAUACCAAACACCACUAAUACAUAUGUUUUUGUUCUUUUUACAGGUGUUGAGGGAAGGAGCCCAAUGUAUGAAGAACCUCGGGAUUUGAGGUCAAUUGCUUUCCAAGGUGGAGGGAAUGAUGCAAUCCUACUCCGCAAGGAAAUUGGGUAGAAGACUCUAAGUAGAUUGGGCUAGAAAUCCAAGGGAAGGCCCUAGGGUUCUCAUGAGCCUUAGGGUAGAUUUUGAGACCAUGGGCUAAGUAUGAGCCCGCUUAUCUUUGUAAAUAUUAGAAUAGGUUUUUCCUUCGUCUAGGCCUUGUAUUUUGGUCAUUCUAGUAGUAUAGGAUUUUAGCCUUGUAUUUCAGGGCAUUUUGAGUAGUCUUUGUAGUAAGGACUUUUUUUUUGUAUUUUCAUGUUUUUUGUCAUGGGGGUGAGCUUAGCUAUUAUAGGGGAUGUGUAGCUAAGUUCUAGCUUCUCAUCUCAAGGAGGUGAGCUUAACUAUUAGAGAGGUAUGUGAGGUAUGUGUAGCUAAGCUCUAGCUUCUUUAAGAAUCUUCUUAAGGAAGCUUCUCAAGGAGGUGAGCUUAGUUAUAAGAGGGGUGUGUGUAGCUAAGCUCUAGCAUCUCAAGAAAGUUUUCUCAAAGAAGCUUAUCAAGGAAGUUUUCUCAAGAAAGCUUCUAAAGGAAGCUACCAAGUCUAUAA
This 4717-nucleotide long non-coding RNA is filed under the name Glycine max (soybean). RNAcentral's name for it is "long non-coding RNA (GMAX_LNC000572)". The record is from RNAcentral. Lineage: Eukaryota; Viridiplantae; Streptophyta; Magnoliopsida; Fabales; Fabaceae.